Molecule: long non-coding RNA, 358 nt
Organism: Polypterus senegalus (gray bichir)
Lineage: Eukaryota; Metazoa; Chordata; Cladistia; Polypteriformes; Polypteridae
Exons: 3
Source: RefSeq, a predicted model, not a curated record
CUCAUCCCGUCCUAGCGAGUCCGUGGAAGUGAGAAAGUGACAGCGACGGGCGGGGCGGUGCGGCUGCAUAUCAUAGGACCUCCCAAUGCUUUACAUAAAGACCAGUCCAUCCAGGUCACAGUUACAUCAACAGUCACGCUUUUGUUUUUCUUUUAUUUAGGGAACAUUGAAGUUAUAAAAAUGUCCUUUUAAACUGAUGCCGAGAAAGCUCGUGUGCCAUGGAUGCUAUAAUUUAGCAGUUUUAUAAUGGAAUGUUCCAGUCUCUUUGAGGGUUGGAAAACAUUUAAUGAUGAGGAAGUGUGACGAUGCAGGUUCUGGCUCCACGCUCCCAUCACUAUUCGGAAGCCCUUGAACCCAA